Molecule: small nuclear RNA, 36 nt
Filed under: Cervus elaphus hippelaphus
Lineage: Eukaryota; Metazoa; Chordata; Mammalia; Artiodactyla; Cervidae
Source: RNAcentral
AUCACUUCUCACUCUUUUGGCUAAGGUCAAGUGUAG